This 1340-nucleotide ribosomal RNA is filed under the name uncultured bacterium. Its description in RNAcentral is "bacterial SSU rRNA". It matches the Rfam family "Bacterial small subunit ribosomal RNA", at positions 28 to 1369 of the family's 1533-position model. The record is from RNAcentral.
GAUGAACGCUGGCGGCGUGCCUAACACAUCCUUUUUCGAACGGGGUUAAGACGAAAUUUUCGGAUGGAAUCUUAACUUAGUGCCGGACGGGUGAGUAACGCGUGAUCAACCUGCCUAUCAGUGGGGAAUAACGUUUGGAAACGAACGCUAAUACCGCAUAACGUACAGAGAUCGCAUGUUUUUUGUACCAAAGAUUUAUUGCUGAUAGAUGGGCUCGCGUCUGAUUAGGUAGUUGGUAGGGUAACGGCCUACCAAGCCGACGAUCAGUAGCCGGACUGAGAGGUUGAACAGCCACAUUGGAACUGAGAAACGGUCCAGACUCCUACGGGAGGCAGCAGUGGGGAAUAUUGGGCAAUGGGCGAAAGCCUGACCCAGCGACGCCGCGUGAGGGAAGACGGUCUUCGGAUUGUAAACCUCUUUCAUCAAGGAGGACAAAGGGCGGGUCCUGCCGGAAGAAGCCCAGGGCUUAAAUACGUGCCCGCAGCCGCGGUCAUACCUAGGUGGCAAGCGUUUAUCCCGGAAUUACUGGGUGUAAAAGGGUGUGUAGGCGGGACUGCAAGUCAGAAGUGAAAAUUAUGGGCUCAACCCAUAACCUGCGUCUGAAACUGUUAGUUCUGAAGAGUGGGAGAGGUAGAUGGGAAUUCCUGGUGUAGCGGUGAAAUGCGUAGAUACCAGGAGGAACACCGGUGGCGAAGGCGAUCUACUGGACCACAACUGACGCUGAGACACGAAAGCGUGGGGAGCAAACAGGAUUAGAUACCCUGGUAGUCCACGCUGUAAACGAUGAAUGCUAGGUGUAGGGACCGAAAAGGUUUCUGUGCCGCAGUUAACACAAUAAGCAUUCCACCUGGGGAGUACGGCCGCAAGGUUGAAACUCAAAGGAAUUGACGGGAGCCCGCACAAGCAGUGGAGUAUGUGGUUUAAUUCGACGCAACGCGAAGAACCUUACCAGAGCUUGACAUCCCUUUGACCGGAUAUGUAAUGUAUCCUUUCUCUUCGGAGACAAAGGUGACAGGUGGUGCAUGGUUGUCGUCAGCUCGUGUCGUGAGAUGUUGGGUUAAGUCCCGCAACGAGCGCAACCCUUACGGUCAGUUGCUACGCAAGAGCACUCUGGCCGGACUGCCGUUGACAAAACGGAGGAAGGUGGGGACGACGUCAAAUCAUCAUGCCCCUUACGCUCUGGGCUACACACGUACUACAAUGGCGCAAACAAAGAGUUGCGACCCCGCGAGGGUGAGCUAAUCUCAUAAAAGGCGUCCCAGUUCGGAUUGUAGGCUGAAACCCGCCUGCAUGAAGUUGGAAUAACUAGUAAUCGUAGAUCAGCAUGCUACGGUGAAUAC